GUUAGCCACUUGGGGUAGGGACGUGGCCUCCCAUUCUUUGGAAAUGGGACAACUGAACAACUGAACAAUGUUGUCAUACCAACGAAACGUGACUGUACCCAAAAUUUUCCAAAACCAGAUGUUGUUGGACUCCAAUUCCCAUCAUCCUCGCUGCAGUGGCCAAAGGCUGGACACCCCUCUCCUAUAAUGCAGUGCCAGUUUGUGAGCAAGCAUCUCGUGCACCUGGGCCCGGGAGAAAAGCACCCGCCGCUUUCGCUUGGAGGAGUUUGUCGCCAGGAAAGGGGGCGAUUUCAUCACCUCGCCAAGAUAGCCCAGGCAGUCAGCCCCCGGCACGCUAAACCCCGACGGCCCCACAUACCUGGAGACUGGGAAAGAGAACAAGGAGAGGCAGGAGGACUUGGUCAAAUGCGGCCACACCAAAGGCAAAAUGGGGAAAGGGUUCUGAGCACUGACCAGUCUGGCUCACCAGUUACUCUAUCACGGAAUUGCUGUGUAAAAAUGAUUGAAAUAAAUAGGAGAAAGACUGUGCUUCAGAACCAAC
Hemicordylus capensis (graceful crag lizard) is the source of this 541-nucleotide long non-coding RNA. RefSeq lists it as uncharacterized. Lineage: Eukaryota; Metazoa; Chordata; Lepidosauria; Squamata; Cordylidae. The record is from RefSeq and is a predicted model, not a curated record. The transcript is spliced from 3 exons.